RNAcentral lists this unclassified non-coding RNA (191 nucleotides) under plant metagenome. Its description in RNAcentral is "partial contains 5.8S ribosomal RNA, internal transcribed spacer 2, and large subunit ribosomal RNA". The record is from RNAcentral.
CCGCAUCUUGCAACAUCACUCUGUGUUGUUACAAGGUAUCUACGUAUGAGUGUCAGCCCAAUAUCCUUUAUUGGUUCAAGAUGUAUUUUGAUGAAAUCUUUUUAAGAUUUUUUCAGAGUCUUGGAUACAUAUUUUAUGGAAAUAAUUUAUGUCUGGCCUCAUAUGUGGAAGGUUACCCGCUGGAUUUAAGC